AUGGCAGCAUGCAGCUACCAUCAACAUUGCCCACAGCUCCUCACGCAGCCAACAUACAUUACACAGAUGCGAGCAUCGAGUGACAUGGCCCGUUCAUGCAUUCCGGUCAUGCUCAUGGCCACCAGCUUGCUGCUAAUGCCGUUCGUGGCUGUUUCAUCUCCUGCUCCGAGCAACAACACCGACCUUGCCGCGCUGCUGGCUUUCAAAUCCCAGUUGUCCGGCCAAAAUUUGGCCGAUAACUGGACAACUGAUGUGUCCUUCUGCACCUGGACCGGUGUGUCGUGCAGCCGGCGCCACCACCAGCGUGUCACCGCUUUGGAGCUGCCGGACAUUCCCCUCCAAGGAGAGCUCAGCCCUCACCUCGGUAACCUCUCUUUCCUCCACACCCUCAACCUAACCAACACAAACCUCACCGGUUCCAUCCCAGCUGACCUUGGAAGAUUAGCUCGUCUUAGGUAUCUUGGUCUUGGCCACAAUAGCCUAUCGGAUACAAUCCCAUCUACCAUUGGAAACCUCACCAGGCUCCAGUAUCUGGUCCUAAGUUUCAACCAGCUCUCUGGGCAGAUCCCCACUGAGGUGCGAAACAUGCGUAGCCUUACGUUCCUCUCUCUCCAAAGAAAUUCCAUUACCGGCCUCACGCCAAAUUUUUCAUUUGAUAGCACACCUUCACUGAGCCACAUCGAUAUUCGGAACAAUAGUCUGUCCGGCCCAAUACCAUCUGGUAUUGGCUCCUUGCUCCUGCUCCAGGUUCUUCGCUUGAACUGGAACCUGCUCUCCGGUCCAGUACCUCCUACCAUCUUCAACAUGUCUAGGAUUGUUGACUUGCGUCUGGGGCACAACAAUCUAACAGGUCAUAUACCUAGCAAUAGAAGCUUUAGUCUCCCCAUGUUGCUAAUACUUAAUCUUUAUGAGAACAAAUUCGAGGGUCAAAUUCCAUUGGGCCUUGCAUCAUGCCAGCACCUUAGGGAACUUAUCAUUCCUGGAAAUCUAUUCGUGGAUGUGGUGCCGACAUGGCUGGCUUCGCUACCACGGCUUACUGCAAUUUCUAUGGGUGGCAAUGCCCUAGUUGGCCCGAUCCCACCUGUGCUUGGAAAUCUCACCAUGCUCAGCGCACUUGACAUCGCAGACUCCAACUUAAGCGGAGAUAUUCCUGUGGAAUUGGGAGAACUGAGACAACUCACUUGGCUGCACCUUGCAAACAAUCAGCUAACAGGUCCCUUCCCAAAAUUUCUAGGAAAUUCGACAAAAAUGUCUUCCUUAGAUUUGAGUGUCAAUCAACUGACUGGACCAGUACCGUUAACACUUGGAAAUAACAGGCCUCUUAUCGUUCUCUAUAUUCAAGAGAAUCAUCUCCAAGGGGAUCUUAGUUUCUUGGCCAGCCUUUGCAAUUGUCAACAACUUCAAGUCCUUGUCAUAUCGAAUAAUUCUUUCACUGGGAGUAUCCCUAGCUAUUUUGGUAACCUCUCGACUAACCUGGUAAUAUUUGGAGCAGAUAACAACCGUUUGGUUGGUGGGCUUCCAACAACACUAUCAAAUCUUACCGGUCUUCGUGUGAUAAGCUUUUCCAACAACUAUCUUACCAAAGAAAUACCAGAAUCCAUUCUUAAGUUGGAGAAUCUCCAGGCACUUGUUCUCUCUGGAAAUAGAAUGGCUGGCCAAAUCCCUGUACAAAUUGGUAUGCUGGGAAGUAUCGUACAGUUAAUACUCAGGGACAAUAUGUUAUCUGGCUCCAUACCAGAUGCCAUGGGAAACCUCACCAUGUUAGCUGAGGUUUUAUUAUCUUAUAAUCAUUUAUCUUCGACCAUACCAUCAAGCUUGUUUUAUCACAGGAACCUUAUGAAACUAGAUAUGUCAUAUAACUCCCUAACUGGUACAUUACCUUCUGAUCUUAGCCAUAUGCAAAAUAUGGACUGGAUAGAUCUUUCUAGUAACCUCUUGUCUGGUAGCCUUCCAGGUUCAUUUGGACAGGUUGCCAUAUUAUUAACCUACCUAAAUCUUUCGCACAACUCAUUUAAGGGUUUAGUUCCAAACUCUUUCAGCCAAUUAACCAACUUAGAAACACUGGACCUAUCCUCAAAUAAUCUUUCAGGUACGAUACCAGACUACCUUGUUAACUUCACUUACCUUUCUUCUUUGAACCUCUCCUUCAAUAGGUUAGAAGGGCAAAUACCAAAUGGAGGUGUUUUUUCGAACCUCACCUUACAAUCUUUGAUGGGGAAUGUUGGGCUAUGUGGCGCUCCUCGUCUCGGACUGUCACCGUGCCUGCACAAGUCUAACUUGACUUAUAGUCGACACAUCCACAAGUUUAUACUCCUGGUUGUCAUCAUUGGAGUUGGUGCAUUUGCAGCCACCAUUUACCUAAUGAUCAGAAAGAAAAAUAAGAAACAUUCUUAUGGUACGACUUCUACUAGCAUGACUGAUCUGAUCAGCCAUAGGUUAGUAUCCUACCAUGAGAUUGUUCGUGCCACUGAAAAUUUCAAUGAGGACAACCUACUUGGUAUUGGAAGUUUUGGCAAAGUUUUCAAGGGCCAACUAGAUGAUGGUUUUGUGGUUGCAAUAAAAGUGCUCAAUAUGCAAGUCGAGCAGGCCGUGAGGAGUUUUGAUGCUGAAUGUCAAGUGUUGCGCAUGGCUCGACAUCGCAACUUGAUACAAAUAUUGAAUGCGUGUUCCAGCCUGGAUUUCAAGGCACUGCUUCUUCAGUACAUGCCCAAUGGUAGCAUGGAGACACACUUGCACAACGAAAAUAGGGAACCACUAAGAUUCAUGCAGAGAUUGGACAUUAUGCUUGGCGUGUCAGAGGCAAUGGAGUACCUGCACCAUCAUCAUUUCCAAGUUGUCCUGCACUGCGACCUGAAGCCUAGCAAUGUGUUGUUCGAUGACGACAUGACGGCGCAUGUUGCCGACUUUGGCAUUGCAAAGUUACUUCUACGUGAUGACAACUCCAUGGUUUCAGCAAGUAUGCCGGGGACAAUUGGGUACAUGGCCCCUGAGCUAGCAUUCAUGGGAAAGGCAUCACGAAAGACUGACAUGUUCAGCUUCGGGAUCAUGUUGCUUGAAGUCUUCACAGGGAAGAGGCCCAUGGACGCUAUGUUCGUCGGGGAAUCUAGCCUCAGAUGGUGGGUUUCGCAAGCAUUUCCAGCAAAGCUCGUUGAUGUUUUGGAUGAGAAGCUACAACAGGGUGAAGAAAUGAACCUUGCAUUCCAUCACCAAACAAUUAAUACUUCUUCGUCGACAUCCUCCAUUGCCUGCAAUGGAAACUUUCUUGUGUCGAUAUUCGAACUGGGUCUAGAGUGUUCGGACGACUCUCCUAGUCGGAGGGCAAGCAUGAGCGACGUGGUCGUGAGGCUCAAAAACAUUAAGAAGGAUUACUUUGCUUUCAUGGUGGCAACUCAAAGCGCGCAACAACAUUCAUGA
RNAcentral lists this ribosomal RNA (3414 nucleotides) under Triticum aestivum (bread wheat). RNAcentral describes it as "partial small subunit ribosomal RNA". Lineage: Eukaryota; Viridiplantae; Streptophyta; Magnoliopsida; Poales; Poaceae. The record is from RNAcentral.